RNAcentral lists this ribosomal RNA (4038 nucleotides) under Triticum aestivum (bread wheat). RNAcentral's name for it is "partial small subunit ribosomal RNA". Lineage: Eukaryota; Viridiplantae; Streptophyta; Magnoliopsida; Poales; Poaceae. The record is from RNAcentral.
AUGGCCGAGCUCGCGAGCGCCGUGAGCACGUUGCUGGGUGUAAUCAGCCACGAGGCGCAGAGGCUCGGCCGCGUCCGACGCGACGUGCAGUUCAUCCAGGAGGAGAUCGAGAGCAUGAGCAGCUUCCUGGCCGACCUGUCUAGGAUGAGCCGCGAGCAUGAUGAGCGGGUCCGCACCUGGAUGAACCAGGUCCGGAUCCUCGCCGACGACUGCAAGAAACAUAUCGACCUCUACCUCUACCGCGGCGACCCCAGAUUCCACCUACCCAGGGGAGGCCCCCGCCGCUACCUCUUGUGGGCUCCCUGGCUGCUGCGCAAGCUGCUUGCACAGCACCGUGCAGCAGGCCAGCUAAGGGAGCUCAAAGACCGGGCCCAGGACAUUGGCAACCGCCGAUUGAGGUAUGGCGUCGAGAUCAAAAUGUUAGAGUCAUCAACAUCUUCCAGGGAUGUGCUCGCUGAGCCAUUGUUGUUGCCGGGCACACACAACCGUGAAGAAGAAGAACAUGACAAUAACCAAGAUGGGGACGGUCGACUCAAGGUGGCUUUGUCCAUGACUAGUAUGAAAAUGGACAAGGAAGACUACAUUAGGAGGAAGCUAGAUCACUGGAUCGGAUCAGUGAUGCAGGCAGGGGCAGCGGAGAAAGACAUAGAAUUGAGGGCGGCGGGAUCAACAAAAACAUUACCAUCCAUCGCCUUUGUGGUAACAGAGACCGAGGACGCCGAUGCUCUUGGGCGUGAAACCCUCUCUGUGGCGAAAACCCAUUUCAAGUGGGCAGAGAAAGCCCAUGCCCUUGCGCAUGAAGACAAGGCUGUGCCACCGGAGACCAAGGAUGCCUACCCUCUUGCGCACGAAGAUAAGGCUGUGCCACCGGAGGCCAAGGAUGCGAACGCUCUUGCGCAUGAAGAGAAGGCAAUGCCGCCUGAGAUAAAGGACACCGGUGCCCCUGCGGAUGAAGAUAAGACAAUGCCGCUGGAGACCAAGGACACCGACACCCUUGCACUCGACGAUAAGCCCAUGCCACCGGAGGGCAAGGACGCCGGUGUUACUCUUGCACACCAAACUCCAUCUGUCCUCUUGGUCGACGUCUCUGGGAUGCACUACGAUUUUGUACCGCUACAACCUCUGAAGAUUCUAUGCUACAUCCUUCAUGAGCUCAACCAGCAGCAAGGCAUAGGUCCUCCUACUAACAGAACAAGACGAGGUGUUUACAGGUACACAAAUGCCAUGAUUGGUGAAAUCAAGCGCAAGAUACAUGAAAUGGAUGUCGACUACACGAUUAAUGACAUUCAAAUCAACAAUCCUGAAGAUGGUGCACGAUGGUUACAGUACCUGGAACAAUUGCACGAGGGAGGAGAGGAUUUGGAAAAAUAUAUCGCCUCCUAUGUGCCAUUGAAGGGACUACUCUGGUUGCUCAUCUACUACUCAAUUACUUCUGCAGCUGAUAUAAAAGACAAACAGAACAAAGCCAUGGUAGCAGAAUCGUACCAUGCCAUCAUCAAGCAAACAGCCAAGAAGCUUAAAAGGGAAAUAGAAGCAGGCGGCUCAAACUCAAAGCAGCUGGAGGAUCGCGAAUAUGAAGACAUCUUGUGGAGGGUGUUUCCAAGGGCAACCAGCACCACCGCCGCUACCAAUAUUAGUCCUGGCACAUUGGUCAUGACAGGUGAACCAGAUCCUCAAACCCAGGAAGCUGAUUUUCUCGAAACCACAAAGAUGAAGAAGGAAGAAAUCGGAACGGAUAUUAAAAAGCAGCUCAAGAUAAAAAUGAUUGUGCAGAUGAUUCAAGAAUGUUUGAGAGGUGAUGAAAGGAUCCUGGUCAUCCUCAAAGUUCAUGACAAGUAUGUACCCAAAUGGGAGGAGACCAGAAAAACUUUGAGCCUGUUGAGGUGUCCCAUCCCCAUCGCUGGUGCUGUGAUUGUGGCAACAAAAACCACUGAACAGUAUGAGCAAUAUUUUCGUUGUCCAGAGCUAGAGCAUAUAGAAUAUUCUCUUGUUGGCCUCUACCUUGAUAUGGUGCUCCAGCUAACAAGCCAGCAUAUGAAUGAUCAACACAGCCGCCAGGUUCUUCACGACAUCUUGUGUGAGUGCGAGCCACAUGAAUUCUGCAUGAAGAUCUUUGCUCAUGCAUUGUACGCCAAACCAAAGAGGAGCAGUGAAGAGCUGAACAAGUUGCACAACGCCUUGCGUGUCAGUGCCACACAAAAAUCAUUGCCCAGUAUGAUGUUCAAGUUCUCAUGCAGGGAUCUGCCUAAAGAGUACAUGUCUUGUUUGUUGUACCUCGCUAUCUUCCCUCAGGGACAAACCAUCAAGCGGUCAACCUUGAUAGGACGAUGGGUUGCAGAGAGGCUGAUAACCACCAAAGAAUGGCGCUGGUCCUCUUCAGUGGAUGAAGCCGAGAAAUGUUUUGAUACGCUCGUCGCCCGGUGCUUUGUUUGUCCUGCUGGCAUUGGUGCUACUGGAAAAGUCAAGAGCUGCACAGUGCAUAAGCUAGUUUAUGGAUUCAUUACUAAGAUUGCCAUGCAGCAUCGCAUUCUGGAGACACAGCUGUCACGUCACUUGGCUCGUCACUUCUCCAUAUUCAGCGAUGUCCGCCUCCGCAGCUCUGAAACAAUAGAGAAUUUCUUUCAAAAGUCAUCUCAAUUCUACAAGCUCAAGGUGCUAGAUCUAGAGGGCUAUGAAGGCUUCCCAUGGAACGAACACUACCUAAGUGACAUAUGCAGGAAGAUACUAAUGCUCAAGUAUCUCAGCCUAAGGGGAACGGGCGUUACCAGGCUGCCCAGUGAAAUCAACAAUCUUCUUGAGCUGGAGGUAUUGGAUAUCCGGGAGACCAACAUUCCUGCAUCUGCAACAAGAAAUGUCCUGCUCCAAAAGUUGAAACGUCUGUUGGCUGGCCAUGUUGAUUCAAGUCCUGCCAACUUUUCCAGUGUCCAGAUCCCUGAGAAGAUUUUUAAAAUGGAGGGUGUGGAGGUACUGUCCAAUGUCAAGCCGAAGAAUCGUCGGGACUUGAGAGACAUUGGAGUUCUGAAUGAGCUGAAGAAGCUCGGUGUGGCUAUCAACGAGAGUGACCUCGAGCCGUUGCUUAAUACAAUCAGUGACCUCCUACACCAGUCCCUCCGUUUUCUGUCAAUUACUCUUGACAUAACUAUAUACAAGGACCCUCCAUCAAAGCUGAGACUGGAACAAAACUUCCCCGAUGUUCUUGAAAGACUAAGUAUAAAUGAAAGCACUAGCACACAAAAAGGGCAGCUUUUUAAGAUAUUGGUAGGAAAUGGAAAUCAUUCAAAUCAACUUGCUAAGGUAACUCUGACUGGUACUUUCCUGAGCCGGGAAGAUCUGAAGAUUCUUGCCAAGCUUGAGAACUUACAGUGUGUCAAGCUUCGACACAAUAAGUACGAUGAGAGCAAGCUCACUUUCAACAAGGGUGAAUUCAAAAAUCUCAUUAGUUUUCUUGUUGAGGGAAAAAACAUGACUGAAAUCAUUUUUGAUAAGGGAGCUGCUAGGAACCUGGUGAAGAUCGUUUUGUCCUCCACCAACAUGGUCUCUAUCAGUGGAGUCGGCUGGCUUAAAAAAUUGGAGGAGCUCGAACUGAACAACAUCGAGGACAAGUACAUGUUGCAUUCUUUGCUUGUCAAUGCCAAACACAUAACCAGGUUAACUCUUCGUGAUACAUUGCUGGAACAAGGUGAUCUGAAAAUCCUCGCCUGCGAACGAAAGAUAUGCUACCUAGCGCUCUUGGGGAAGUUUUGUAAUGGCAAUCACCUUGUCUUCAAGGAAUGUGACUUCCAUAAGCUCAACAUUCUUAUUGUUGACUCUGAUGACAUCACCGAGAUAAGCUUCACCAACAGCUGUCCUAAUCUUGAGAAGAUGGUCUGGUCAUUCAGAAAAAUUGUUUCUCUGUCCGGAAUUGACAAACUUCCUGCAUUAGAGGAGCUGGAGUUGAAGGGUGACAGUGUCCCUAAUAAGGUGGAAGAAGACAUUAAAAAACUAGAGAGUAGGCUUGACUACAAACACAGGGAUAAGCCAAAAAUAAGAAGAGAAUAA